CAGUCGCCACGGUAAUACGUAGGGUGCAAGCGUUAAUCGGAAUUACUGGGCGUAAAGCGUGCGCAGGCGGUUCGUUAAGACAGAUGUGAAAUCCCCGAGCUUAACUUGGGAACUGCAUUUGAAACUGGCAAGCUAGAGUCUUGUAGAGGGGGGUAGAAUUCCAGGUGUAGCGGUGAAAUGCGUAGAGAUCUGGAGGAAUACCGGUGGCGAAGGCGGCCCCCUGGACAAAGACUGACGCUCAGGUGCGAAAGCGUGGGGAGCAAACAGGAUUAGAUACCCCUGUAGUCCCUGUCUCUUAUAC
This 301-nucleotide ribosomal RNA is filed under the name uncultured bacterium. RNAcentral's name for it is "partial 16S ribosomal RNA". It matches the Rfam family "Bacterial small subunit ribosomal RNA", at positions 509 to 807 of the family's 1533-position model. The record is from RNAcentral.